GUUUGUGGAAGGAAUGCUUAACAUUUGUUACAAUGCCAUUGAUCGUCAUAUUGAAAAUGGUAAAGGAGAUAAGGUUGCAAUCAUCUAUGACAGUCCUGUUACAAAUACCAAAGCAACUAUAACCUAUAAAGAAGUUCUGGAGCAGGUCUCCAAGCUGGCUGGUGUUUUGGUCAAGCAUGGUAUCCAGAAAGGCGACACUGUGGUCAUCUACAUGCCAAUGGUCCCACAAGCGAUGUACACCAUGCUGGCAUGUGCGAGGAUAGGAGCCAUCCACAGUCUCAUAUUUGGGGGAUUUGCAUCCAAAGAAUUAAGUAGUCGCAUUGAUCAUGCAAAGCCCAAGGUGGUGGUUACAGCAUCAUUUGGUAUUGAACCUGGAAGGAAAGUAGAGUACAUACCACUUCUCGAGGAAGCGCUGAGAACAGGACAUCACAAACCAGAUAAAGUUCUCAUUUAUAAUCGCCCAAAUAUGGAAACGGUUCCUUUGGCCCCAGGCCGUGACCUCGACUGGGAUGAAGAGAUGGCACAAGCGCAGUCACACGACUGUGUUCCGGUGCUUUCCGAGCAUCCACUGUAUAUUCUUUAUACAUCUGGGACAACAGGGCUGCCCAAGGGUGUGGUUAGACCCACUGGGGGAUAUGCUGUAAUGCUAAACUGGACAAUGUCCUCUGUAUAUGGACUUAAACCUGGAGAGGUAUGGUGGGCAGCUUCUGACUUAGGCUGGGUUGUCGGACAUUCCUAUAUCUGUUAUGGACCUCUUCUACAUGGGAACACAACUGUUUUAUAUGAGGGGAAGCCUGUGGGAACACCAGAUGCUGGCGCCUAUUUCCGUGUGCUCGCGGAGCAUGGAGUAGCUGCUUUGUUUACAGCGCCGACUGCAAUUAGAGCAAUCCGUCAGCAGGACCCUGGGGCAGCCUUGGGGAAGCAGUACUCUCUGACAAGGUUCAAAACAUUAUUUGUGGCUGGAGAGCGAUGUGAUGUGGAGACCCUGGAAUGGUCCAAAAAGGUCUUCAGAGUACCUGUCCUAGACCAUUGGUGGCAGACUGAGACUGGAUCCCCAAUUACAGCAUCGUGCAUGGGAUUAGGUAAUUCUAAAACACCUCCUCCAGGACAAGCAGGAAAAAGUGUUCCAGGAUACAAUGUUAUGAUAUUGGAUGACAACAUGCAAAAACUGAAGGCUCGGUGUUUAGGAAAUAUUGUGGUUAAGUUGCCAUUACCACCUGGGGCUUUCUCAGGACUCUGGAAGAAUCAGGAAGCAUUCAAGCAUUUAUACUUUGAGAAGUUUCCUGGAUACUAUGACACUAUGGAUGCUGGUUACAUGGAUGAAGAAGGCUAUCUGUAUGUUAUGUCUCGAGUUGAUGAUGUAAUCAAUGUUGCAGGUCACAGGAUUUCUGCAGGUGCCAUUGAAGAGUCGGUUCUUUCCCACGGCGCCGUGGCCGACUGCGCGGUGGUGGCCAAGGAGGAUCCUUUGAAAGGUCAUGUUCCGUUAGCGCUCUGUGUUUUGAGAAAAGAGAUAAAUGCAACAAAGGAACAAGUUUUGGAAGAACUUGUGAGUCAUGUUAGACAGAGCAUUGGCCCUGUGGCUGCUUUUCGAAAUGCUGUGUUCGUCAAACAGUUACCCAAAACUAGGUCUGGCAAAAUUCCCCGCUCAGCGCUGUCUGCCCUUGUCAAUGGCAAGCCGUAUAAGGUCACACCUACCAUCGAAGACCCCAGCAUUUUUGGGCACAUAGAAGAAGUACUGAAGCAGGCAUGACUUGUUUUUCUCAUUUUGAGUCAAUUUCCUAGCGGGAGUGAAGUUUUGGGGAUUAUUUCCCAGAAAUAAUUAUUUAAAUAGAAUUUCUUACAAAGUGACAUGUGACUUGCAAAGCUGGGUCUCACAGUGUGUACUUGAAGGCUAGUGGAAGACCUUUGUCUUCUGUGUGAUUAGACCCAGUUAGCAUCUUUAUCAAUUGCCUGUAACCUGGCUCAGUUGAGGUUGACUAGCACUUUAGAAAAAAAAUGUAUCUAAUGUAUGAUUUUUAAAAUUAUACUCCCCCCAAAAGCAUUUUAAUUGAAAGUCACAUUGAUAUACAGCUACUUUCUGAAAUUGUGAAUCUGCAGCUUGGAGCCAAAAUCUAAAAGCUCAAGUUGCAGCCAGAAAAUAACUAUUUUUCUUAUAGGAAUUCUGAAUAUUUUCUAAUAUUCUUGAGAUGUCCACAUGCAUGGUUAUUUUAAAGGAAAUGGCUGAAAUGGGAUGGUUUAGGGAAUCAUCUAGAGAGAAGAUCUGUCUAGUCAUCCAUUUCCUGGGGGAAGGCUGGAGAUCCGUGUAAGAGAUGUCGUGGUUAACCUAAAUCCAGCUGGUAGAGUUUCUGAGGACCCAGGCAUCAUGCUGAUUCCAUGCACCUCGCGGGGAGGAAACUGCCUUCUCCAGGUUGACCCACGCCUGAAGUUCUUGUCAUCACUCUGCCAGUACAAUUAUAAUUUAUGUAAUGAGAACAAGACAACUAGUCCAGGUGCUUAAAACUGUGUGCCUAGAAACUGAUUAUUUACAUUCGGUCUGUAAAGCGUGUAUAUAGACUACUACGCUUUAAGAGUUCUAUUGAUUCCAUAAUGAGAACACCGGAGAUUGAAGUCAUAUGAAAAUGGUUUUAUAAUAUGACUUCAAACGUAAGGUUUAUCAUCUAUAAAAAUAAAUAUUUUUGAAAACCUAAAAUAAACCCCAAAGUUUUUCUGAAAACUGUAUUGGAUUAUCUUUGUUACACGUUUUUCCAACUGAUUUUAUUGUAUGAGAUGAUACUUAAUUCAGUAAGUGUUGGGUGAACUGCAUUUGACUCACACACUUGAAUAACUAUUUUAUGAAUUUUGCUUUUAUGUAUACAAGAGAGAUUCAUUAUGCAAAUCUAUGUAUUUGGUGUAGUCUGGUGGCUCAUAUGGAUACUAUAACCUAUACUAUGUGUAAGAAACUUAAUUUGUCAUUUGUUAGAUUUCAGCUGACAGAGAAUUACCUUAUAAUUUGUUGAAAAACCUGUACAGCCUAGACACCAUCCUAAUAAAAACAUGCUCCUUAGAUGCCAUUAAAAGCAUAAUGUAAUUCUAGAUGCUGUUUUACAAACAUAAUUGUGGUUGCUGAUUCUGUUAUAUUUUAAUGAUAUAAUUUCUUCUCUCUAUAUGCAUACACAAAGGAUGUAGUUACUUUCUCUCAAUUGAAAACAUCAGUAUGUAUCUUACCAUUUAACUACUACUAUUCUUUGUGUCUAAUUCUAAGGAAAAAGUUAAUCUUUCCAUCUGGGUUUCUCUUCUAGGGAAAGACACUGUAUUUCCUGAAGUUAUAUCUAAGUAUGUUGACCCUAGUAGCUCAGGUGACUUCAUUAUGCCAAAAUGAACAGGAUAUGCCAACAUAUAUAGAAUAGGUCGAUAUUCAGCUGAAAUUCUCAUUGUUAUGAAUAACACUAAGAUGUUUUCCAUCACAGAUUGCUAAUCUGACACUCAAAGCCAUUCUGGGAAGAGUUAAAUCUAUCCACUGUUCUAUAAGAAUACUUACCAAUAUCUAAAUUUUGUUUACAUUUAGUAAUCAUCCUACAGCUUAAGGGAUAUCUGCUAUUCUUUUUCUCAACUGAUGGGUUUUACAGUGUCCUAGACCUAAUGUUUGCAAGUGUAGAAAAGAAGCAAGAGUUUCACAGCAUGGCUGACUUCUUGAAUCUUGGAGAAGUUGUUGCAUAAAUGUAUAUUCUUCGGUUCUACAAAAUACUACAUUAUGUUGCAGAAAUAUACAACUCUUAUAAUGUAUAAAGUAAGAGCCUAAAAAUAAGCCAGUACAUUAACAGUUCAAAUGACGAGUCCUUACUUUUGCUCUUCCAACAUUGUGUUACUGCAGAAAGUUAAUGGGAAUUGCAAAUAACAUCAGGGAAAAAGUGUCCGUGAGAAGAGGUUAGAAGUUAUCCUCUUAACUGAAGUCUGUAGAAGCACUUUCCAAAGUAUUUCAGUGGAAUCUGCAUAUUAUUCCAGCCCCAGAAAGAAGUCCACUCUAGUUUUGGGCAAGCUGGUUAGCUAUUUUUGUUCACACUCAAAGAAACAAAAAACUAGAAUAAUUUGCAUUGAUUUGCAUGAUAAAUUUGUAUGCUGUGUUCUUAAUAAUAAAAGUAGCCUGAUAUUUUAAAGGCAGAUAGUCCAUGGCAUUCAGAGCUUUCUGCUGGUUCAUUUCUUUAGGAAGCAACACUAACUCACAAAGGCUGUGUUUGCACCUGGACGCAUUUUAGAAUGUAGUAAUAUGACAGAGCUUUAUUUUGCAACUUUUAAGCAUGGAGAAAAAUUGUAUUUAAAUGUAUGUAUCGGUUUAUGCAGACUAUCUUUUUGAUUCAACAAGAAUAAGGAUUAAAAAUAUUAUCAAUUUAUAAAAUGAAGAUCAGCUAAGUGUUAAACUGCUUUUUAAAAAUAUUAAGCAUUAUCCUUAUUGGACAGGAGUAUGAUUUUUUUAGGAAAUUAGCUGAGGUCAAGACUGUAGAGCUUAUCUGUCUAUAACCUCCUCCAUAAAGCGCAGCUGGCUUUUAUAAUACCAAGAUCAUCUGCCCAUUCAUAUAUUUAUAAGGAAAACUCAAUAUUGAUAUCUAAAAUGAUGAACACGUCCCAUUUAUUGAAAGCAAGUUUUCUCUUCAUUUUAAUAUCCUAAAAUUUCCUGUGAAGAUAUGCUGAUAUUUAAGAAGUAGGCACAUGCCUUAUUAAAAAGCUGAAUUUAGUGUUGUCAUUGCAUAUAAUUAAAAAAUGUUGCUGAACAUUAUUGUGCAGUCAGAGCUCAUGAAAGAAGUCUGUUUUUGAAAUAACUGCUUAGUGUUUCUAACUGCUGAUACAAUAUUUAUGAAUUCAUAAAGUUCUAUCCAAAGUCAAAUGAGUGAA
Molecule: non-coding RNA, 4866 nt
Organism: Manis javanica (Malayan pangolin)
Lineage: Eukaryota; Metazoa; Chordata; Mammalia; Pholidota; Manidae
Source: RefSeq, a predicted model, not a curated record